Molecule: ribosomal RNA, 248 nt
Filed under: uncultured bacterium
Lineage: Bacteria
Description: partial 16S ribosomal RNA
Rfam family: Bacterial small subunit ribosomal RNA
Source: RNAcentral
GACAGAGAUGUGGAGCGAAACUCAAAAAAGUAAGUCUCAGUUCGGAUUGAAGGCUGAAAUUCGCCUUCAUGAAGCCGGAAUUGCUAGUAAUGGCAGGUCAGCAUACUGCCGUGAAUACGUUCCCGGGCCUUGUACACACCGCCCGUCACACCAUGAGAGUUGGGAAUACCCGAAGCCUGUGAGCUAACUAUACGAGGCAGCAGUCGAAGGUAGAAUCAAUGAUUGGGGUGAAGUCGUAACAAGGUACC